GUCUUUUUGAACUUUAGCUACAAUGAGUCCAUGUGCGUGCAUUGAUUUCUACUAGUGGAGAAGCAAGGUAUGCGAUAACCUGAGCUAAUAGACACUAAUAAGGAUGAGUAGUCAUUAACAACAUAUUGAUGACAUAAUUGAACGUGAGCCACUGUCACUCGGCCUGUAUACUGUUCAUUCCUUCACUUAAUUUCCCCUUCCAGUGCUAAUAAUAUCACGACAAAACCGUGGGUUGAUAAAAAGUUAAGACACACUGUCCACCCCCUUAAAUUGGCAAGCUAAAACGACCUUAGAUUAUUGUGUAGAACAUAUCAGAACCUAUUACAGAGGAAGUUCACCGCUGUCUGCAAUGGUGACUUUGCUUUUAGGUGUUCCACUUUGUCUUCCUUCAGCUUCCAUCUUGUAAACGACAUCCAUUCCAGAUAAAACCUUUCCGAAGACCACAUGUCGACCAUCCAACCAUGUAGUUGUGACUGUUGUGAUGAAGAAUUGUGAACCAUUGGUGUCAGAACCAGCAUUUGCCAUUGACAAUAGCCCAGGUCCAGUGUGCUUGAUCUUGAAAUUUUCAUCCGCAAACUUUUCACCGUAAAUAGAUUCCCCUCCACGCCCAUCACCAAGGGUGAAAUCACCACCUUGAAUCAUGAAGCUGGGGAUUAUUCGGUGGAAUUUGCUCCCCUUGAAAUGAAGAGGCUUGCCACUCUUUCCAACUCCCUUUUCCCCUGUGCACAAUGCUCUGAAGUUCUCUGCUGUUUUAGGAACUGUUUUACCAAAGAGA
Molecule: unclassified non-coding RNA, 775 nt
Filed under: Hevea brasiliensis (rubber tree)
Lineage: Eukaryota; Viridiplantae; Streptophyta; Magnoliopsida; Malpighiales; Euphorbiaceae
Source: RNAcentral